This 874-nucleotide ribosomal RNA is filed under the name Acutuncus antarcticus. Its description in RNAcentral is "SSU rRNA". It matches the Rfam family "Eukaryotic small subunit ribosomal RNA", at positions 64 to 940 of the family's 1831-position model. The record is from RNAcentral. Lineage: Eukaryota; Metazoa; Tardigrada; Eutardigrada; Parachela; Hypsibiidae.
UACUUGCUUUUACAAGGCGAAACCGCGAAUGGCUCAUUAAAUCAGUUAUGGUUCACUAGAUCGUACAGUUUACAUGGAUAACUGUGGUAAUUCUAGAGCUAAUACAUGCACCCAGUCCGUUCCCUCGUGGAGCGGAUGCAGUUAUUUGCCCAAAACCAAUCCGGCCUUCGGGUCGGUCAAUUGGUGACUCUGAAUAACCGAAGCGGAGCGCAUGGUCUCGUACCGGCGCCAGAUCUUUCAAGUGUCUGACUUAUCAGCUUGUUGUUAGGUUAUGUUCCUAACAAGGCAUCAACGGGUAACGGAGUGUCAGGGCCCGACACCGGAGAGGGAGCCUGAGAAACGGCUACCACAUCCAAGGAAGGCAGCAGGCGCGCAAAUUACCCACUCCCGGCACGGGGAGGUAGUGACGAAAAAUAACGAUGCGAGAGCUUUAUGCUCCUCGUAAUCGGAAUGGGUACACUUUAAAUCCUUUAACGAGGAUCUAUUGGAGGGCAAGUCUGGUGCCAGCAGCCGCGGUAAUUCCAGCUCCAAUAGCGUAUAUUAAAGUUGCUGCGGUUAAAAAGCUCGUAGUUGGAUCUGGGUAGUCGAUGGACGGUGCGCUUUACGGCGUCUACUGUUCGUUCGGCACCACAUGCCGGCCAUGUCUUGCAUGCUCUUCACUGAGUGUGCUUGGCGACCGGAACGUUUACUUUGAAAAAAUUAGAGUGCUCAAAGCAGGCGUUAAGCCUUGCAUAAUGGUGCAUGGAAUAAUAGAAUAGGACCUCGGUUCUAUUUUGUUGGUUUUCGGAGCUCGAGGUAAUGAUUAAUAGGAACAGACGGGGGCAUUCGUAUUGCGGCGUUAGAGGUGAAAUUCUUGGAUCGUCGCAAGACGCAC